This is an RNA transcript of Gopherus flavomarginatus (Mexican gopher tortoise), 3171 nucleotides long. It is a transcript of the gene named polypeptide N-acetylgalactosaminyltransferase 8, with no coding region annotated. NCBI's taxonomy places the organism in Eukaryota, Metazoa, Chordata, Testudines, Testudinidae. The transcript is spliced from 12 exons. The record is from RefSeq and is a predicted model, not a curated record.
CAUUCAAGUUCAAAGAGAUCGCUCCACCUGAGCAGUCUUAAUGUCUGCUCCAAAGAGGUCUAUUUGGAACUAAUUUGAGGCAGCAACGACUGCAACUGAAUAAGAAUCACUACCAGGACAGAUAUAUAUUUUAGGAAGAGAAUGGUGUCAUGGAGAAGGUUACCAGGUCUCUUUCCAACCGUGCUGUUUCUUGUAUCCACUGCGAAUAUCUUCCUUGUGUUUUAUGUGAAGAAUGUAAUACAAGAACUGAAAAAUGAAAGCCACAGAUACUUAGCGGUUCACCCCCGAUCUUUCAGCCAAGAAAAUGCAGUAAUUGAGCGGCUGGACCAUUUGGAGAUGUAUAUUCACAACAUCUCAGCCAAUUUCAUGAAAAAGCCCUCUCAUAAUGAAAGAAACAAACAGAAAGAAGAUGACAUAAAGCUGCCAGAGGAGUCAAAGGGUGAAAUGCACCAGGCUGAGAAAGCAAAGGAGGAAGACAAAAUGGAAAAGAAGGUUGUGCACAGAAAGCUGUUUCCAGAUUCAAAGCUGUUCAAGCGCUGGGGUGCAGAUUUAACAGAAGAGCAACAAACCACAGCCCAGGAUCUAUUCACUAAAUAUGGGUAUAAUGUUUAUCUCAGUGACCGUCUGCCCCUGGAUCGGACUAUUCCAGACACCAGAUAUCCCAGCUGUAAAGUGAAAAAAUAUCCCCACGACCUCCCAACACUUAGUGUCAUUCUUAUAUUCAUGAAUGAGGCAAUGUCGAUCAUCUUACGUGCAAUUACUAGUAUAAUUAACCGAACGCCUUCUCAUUUGCUGAAAGAAAUUGUCCUGGUAGAUGAUUACAGCUCGAAUGAGGAUCUAAAAGGACAUUUGGAUGAACAGAUAAAAAAUUACAAUGCAAAACACCCUGGAUUGCUAAAAAUUGUGAGGCAUCAGAAGAGAGAAGGCCUAACACAAGCUCGGAUUUCCGGCUGGGAAGCAUCUACUGCCGAUGUUGUCGCAAUCUUGGAUGCCCAUAUUGAAGUGAAUGUUGGCUGGGCUGAACCUAUUCUGUCUCGAAUUAAGGAGGAUCGCACUAUUAUAAUAUCACCGGUAUUUGACAAUGUUCGCUUUGAUGACUUCGAACUUCUUGAGUAUGCUGUGGCUGCAGAUGGAUUUGACUGGGCACUAUGGUGCCUCUAUGAACCAUUACCAAAAGAAUGGUAUGCGCUCAAAGAUGAAACGGCUCCAGUCCGGAGUCCUUCUAUUAUGGGGAUACUUGCUGCACAUAGAGUGUUUCUGGGUGAGAUUGGGGUACUGGAUGGCGGAAUGCAUAUAUACGGAGGGGAAAAUGUGGAACUUGGCCUGCGGGUUUGGCAGUGUGGGGGUCAAAUAGAAGUCUUGCCCUGUUCAAGAGUUGCUCACCUGGAAAGAGCGCACAAACCCUACAUGCUGGACUUGAGCAUUGCUAUGAGACGCAACGCCCUGAGAGUGGCUGAAGUGUGGAUGGACAACUAUAAAUACAUGGUUUAUUUCGCAUGGAAUCUUCCUAUUGAGAAUCCUGGAAUAGACUAUGGAGAUGUUUCUUCCAGAAAGGAGCUAAGAAAGAAACUGAACUGUAAAAGCUUUGACUGGUACAUAAAGAACAUUUAUCCUAACUUAAUACCUUUGACCACCAUUGUUGGCUAUGGAACAAUGAAAAACACUCUGAAUGAGAACAUCUGCAUAGAUCAAGGCCCUGUCCCUGGAAACACUCCAAUAAUGUAUGGCUGUCAUGCUUACUCACCACAGCACUUGUUUUAUCUCAGCACUGGAGAAAUGUAUAUAGGAGGUCUACGAUCUCGACAGAACACAGUAGAUCGUUGCUUAACUGAUCCUGACACAGGAGACCUGCCAUUUAUAGAGCAAUGUAAUGAGGCUGUGAAAAAGGGACUGAACAUGCAUUGGGAUUUUAAGCAGGGAUCAUCUGUGAUGAACAAGAAAACUAAGAGAUGCCUCGAAAUUGUAAAGGAUAAUCCAUCUUCGCCUUACAGACUUGUAAUGCAGAACUGCACUGGACAAAAAUGGAAUGUUCAACACACAGUUAAGGAUUGGGGCAAGAGAAGUGCUCUGAGAUAGCUUAUUUAUCUCAACCAACAGAUGACCUGGCAUUGAUUCUAGGAAGCGGGGAAAUUGGGAUCACCAGAAAAACACAUUCUUCAGAGGUUUCCAAAGAAGAGCAAGACAUCUGUUGCUAGGACAUUACACAAUGGAGAUUAUCUCAGGUAGACUCUAUAACAUUUUGGGGAGCACAUUUAUUGGUAUGGAGGAAUGUAUGCUCUGAAUUAUGGGAGGAUAUGGGCACAUAAACAGGAGGGUGAUGGACACAUGUACCAUAGGUAGGUAGUUAUCGUUGUGUGUAUUUAAGUUGACCGUCAGUGAGGAUAAACUGGAACCAAAGACUGGAUGAGAGAAAAUUGAUCUUGUAUAGAUCAUUCGGGCGGGAGCUUGAAGAUUCUGUGGUAGAAGGGAAACUAAGGAAAUGCAAACAGAGAUGUUAUAAAGCAGGGGGUCUCAAACUGGGGGUUGCAAGUUCGCCACAUGAGGGGUUGCAAGCUGUCAGCCUCCACCACAAACCCCGCUUUACAUCCAGCAUUUAUAAUGUUAUAAAGUGUUUUUAAUUUAAAAGGGGGAUCGCACGCAGAAGCUUGCUAUGUGAAAGGGGUCACCAGUACAAAAGUGUGAGAACCACUGUUAUAAAGGAUGUGUUAUUCAGAGGUGACCAGGACCUACAGCUCCCAUUGACUUCAUUUGGAAAGCUGGUUGUUCAGUACCUCUCAAAAUCAGAACUAAGGUAGUGGUGUUGUUGUUUGUUGUGUGUUUUUUUUACAAUGUGAGCCUUCUAAAUAAGUGGCCUGAUUUUUCAAAAAUGUUGAGCUCCCAUUGAAAUCAAUAAACUACUUGCACUGGCCUCUUAUUUUUGAAGAUCUUGGUUGAGACCUAUACAUGAUAUCUGUACCCUGCCUUUUAUAUUCAGGAGGCCUUCAGUGGAUGGGAAAUCACCCUGCUUUCAGCUUGACCUUUAUACAGUCAUCUAAUCUAUUAACUAGUGAUGCAAUGGAGUGGUGACUUGUUGGCUUCUGGGAGCUCCUUGUCAAAAGCCUGCAGCUAAACUGAAGUGAAGGCUGGGGUGAUUUGCCUGCCUCCAGAGGAGUUACCCCCAUUCUGUAGAUA